Chiloscyllium plagiosum (whitespotted bambooshark) is the source of this 999-nucleotide non-coding RNA. The record is from the annotation of a RefSeq genome assembly. NCBI's taxonomy places the organism in Eukaryota, Metazoa, Chordata, Chondrichthyes, Orectolobiformes, Hemiscylliidae.
AUGUUUAUGACGCAGCAUCUGCUGUGGGCCCUACUGAUCCAUGUAACAGGUACCUUGGCUGAUCCUGUCCUCAAUCAGAGUCCAGUGUCCGACCCAGUCUCUGCCGGUCAGACUGUCCAGUUGAAGUGUGCAAUGCAGAAUGAUGAUGUGGACAGCUACGAUGUGGACUGGUACCGACAGAGUCCCGGAGAAGCGCCAGUGUGGGUGAUCAGACAUGAAACGGAUGAUGAUAUAUACAGGGGCACUGGCUUCACAACCUUCUCGAGACACCUCCAGUAACAAUUUCAUCCUAACCAUUGAAAAUCUGGUCUCCAGUGACUCUGCCAUCUAUUAUUGUGCUGUGUGGGAUAGCUCAGCUGGUUAUCACAGUGGGACUGCCCUAGCUGUUCGGAGUAGUGAUGAUUGGAAAUCUUCUGUACUUCUGUUCCCUCCUUCGUCGGCACUAGUAGACAUGGGAUCAGCCACUCUGUCCAGUCUGGUGAGUCGUUUUAAGCCGGGCUAUCUGCAGGUGCUCUGGAGCGUGGAUGAGAAAGAGACAGACAACGAGGUGACCUCAAGUGCGGAAUCGCCGGAUAGUGAUCAUACCUGACAAUCCCAGCCACUGACUGGAAGAAAGACUUCUCAUAGUCCUGCAGUGUGAGACACGGUUCACUGGACUUCACUCUCUUCAACGCCAUCAGCUCCAGCGACUGUUAGCUCUGAGACAAACAAUGUCACGGGUCAGUCACUGUGUGUCAUGCGGUGGUUUGUUCUUUGUUUGUGUUUUGCAUUGCAAUUUCUUCAGCAAUGUCAGUAUUUGGUGAACAAUAUUGGGUGAAUAUUGAAAGAUGGUGAAAUGAUUGCUCCUAUCAAUGAGUGGGGAUUUCCCGCUGCAAUUGCCUCCAGCAUUUUGCGAGCAAACUGUCAUUCUGGGUACAAUGGGGAGCAAUCACAGCUUUUUCAACAACGGCCAUGCUGCAUUUGUCAACUUUAUAAACCCAGUUCUGAAUAAAGAUAACA